AAAGCGCUGGGAUUACAGGUGUGAGCCACCAUGCCUGGCCAAGAGGUAUUUUAAAGGCAACAUGAGGAGUUUGUCUUCUGGACACAUGAAAGUCCAAAUGCCCUGGAUCUGAUGUUUGAUAAGAUAUCUUUUCACUAUCCAUAAUUGGAAAGGAAAUUCUGAUGGAGGAAUCAAAUAAAAUUCAUAAUAAACAGGACAUAAUUGAAUGGCAAGGAGAGAGGUAGUCGCCCUUCGACGAAUGUCUGUCUUAGUGCCAGCGCUCUUCUGGAGGCUUAUAGCUGUAGUCAGAUGAGCCCCGCUAUGCCUGGCUUAACUUCAUGAAAGUUUUGUGACAUAAUAAACAAGGUGUGGUGGGAACCAGAGUGAGACUCAGGCUGGUCGAGCCUUGCCUAAGCACUCAGGAACAGGAUCAUGUGAAACAAUACCUUCCCCAGGUCAUGGCUACGUCGGGCAUCAGCACUUUGCUUAUUUCCUGCCAAAGCCCAGGCCAAAGCUUGAUUUGAGUGUCAGCAAGUUAAAACUCAGGCACAUCCAUCUUUCCUAAGGUGGAUAUAUCCAAUGAAGGCUGGCUUGGUUUCUUUUGCACUAACUUGGCUUUACAGAAGGGCCCCAACAAAGGAGGCUCACUCUGAUUGCAGAGGUUGGGGAAGAGAUACUAGAUGGAAGCCCUUCAGGAGGCCCUUGCCAUGAUCCAGGUACAACCCAAAUACAUUCUUCACAUUUCUCUGACUUCCAAGGUGCACUUAUGUGCUUGAGGAACUUUAGAGAGUCCCAGCAUUUUGAUGAUGAACUUCAUGAGUUACUUUGUGGGGAUGCAAUGAAAGGGAAUUUUUUUUCUUUCUCUCUCUCUGUUUCUUUUUUAAUCUGAUUGAGGAGAGACAUAGGGACUGGAAGACAUUCACAUGGCUAUAAAUAAAAGUCAAGAUACAAUUGUUCAGGUAAAAACAAA
Molecule: long non-coding RNA, 949 nt
Filed under: Papio anubis (olive baboon)
Lineage: Eukaryota; Metazoa; Chordata; Mammalia; Primates; Cercopithecidae
Description: lncRNA (ENSPANG00000041467.1)
Source: RNAcentral